AAAACAGGGUCUGUCACCUUCCAGGGCACACUGGGGCUGAGGGACCACCUACAGCAGGGAGAGAUGGGACAGGCCAUUUUCCUGUUUAACAUGGAAGAAAAGAACAAUGAAAAUAUGGAACUGAAGAGCUAUGCCCAUAUCACAGAUGUGCUCAGCCCCGGCCAGGACCGGCCAGGACCGCGCACGGCUUUCCUGGGAGCAGAACUGCAGUAAGGACAUACAGAGAGCUUCGUGCUCACAGAUCUAUAUACAUUCUAUUCAU
This 262-nucleotide long non-coding RNA is filed under the name Junco hyemalis (dark-eyed junco). Its description in RNAcentral is "lncRNA (ENSJHYG00000003090.1)". The record is from RNAcentral. Lineage: Eukaryota; Metazoa; Chordata; Aves; Passeriformes; Passerellidae.